This 301-nucleotide ribosomal RNA is filed under the name uncultured bacterium. RNAcentral describes it as "partial 16S ribosomal RNA". It matches the Rfam family "Bacterial small subunit ribosomal RNA", at positions 509 to 807 of the family's 1533-position model. The record is from RNAcentral.
CAGCAGCCGCGGUAAAACGAAGGGGGCUAGCGUUGUUCGGAUUUACUGGGCGUAAAGCGCACGUAGGCGGAUCGAUCAGUCAGGGGUGAAAUCCUGGAGCUCAACUCCAGAACUGCCUUUGAUACUGUCGAUCUCGAGUCCGGAAGAGGUGAGUGGAACUCCUAGUGUAGAGGUGGAAUUCGUAGAUAUUAGGAAGAACACCAGUGGCGAAGGCGGCUCACUGGUCCGGUACUGACGCUGAGGUGCGAAAGCGUGGGGAGCAAACAGGAUUAGAUACCCCGGUAGUCCCUGUCUCUUAUAC